Non-coding RNA from Hemicordylus capensis (graceful crag lizard), 73 nucleotides. Lineage: Eukaryota; Metazoa; Chordata; Lepidosauria; Squamata; Cordylidae. The record is from the annotation of a RefSeq genome assembly.
GCCAAAGUAGCUUAGCUGGGAAAGUGUUAGACUGAAGAUCUAAAGGUCCCUGGUUUGAUCCUGGGCUUUGGCU